Molecule: long non-coding RNA, 240 nt
Filed under: Cavia porcellus (domestic guinea pig)
Lineage: Eukaryota; Metazoa; Chordata; Mammalia; Rodentia; Caviidae
Description: lncRNA (ENSCPOG00000040708.1)
Source: RNAcentral
CUGGAGUGAGGACAGAAGCUGUGAAAGAAGAUGAAGAGCGCAAGGGAAGGCAGAGAUCAGGGGGAGGAUUCAUCAGUAAAAGUGUAAUAACAUUUUCCUGCUGAGAUCUCUCCCGCUGCCAGUUAGAAGGAAUUUGGUAUCUGAAUGCACAAUAACUCUAGUUCCGCCCACAUCCAUUUAUACAGAAAAGUAUGAAAACAAUGCCAAUUGGUAAUCAGAUAAAUUUCUUUUUCUGCUUAC